AUUUUCCAAAGUAUUAUAUUUUUAAAAAUAAAGGGACUAACUAAUUAGCAUUACUAGACUAAAUAGUGGUGUUUUUCAAAAUAUAAAGAUUAAUUAAUUAAUUUUUUGAAAAUAAAGGAUUAUAUUUGAUUGGUAUCAUAUUUGUAACGGGGUAUUUAAUGCUCUAAGUUGGAUAUGACUAAAGCAUCUUAAUCAAUUUAAAAAUAUGUUUUUCAAAGUAUUAUAUUUUUAAAAAUAAAGGGACUAACUAAUUAGCAUUACUAGACUAAAUAGUGGUGUUUUUCAAAAUAUAAAGAUUAAUUAAUUAAUUUUUUGAAAAUAAAGGAUUAUAUUUGAUUGGUAUCAUAUUUGUAACGGGGUAUUUAAUGCUCUAAGUUGGAUAUGACUAAAGCAUCUUAAUCAAUUUAAAAAUAU
Molecule: unclassified non-coding RNA, 414 nt
Filed under: Hevea brasiliensis (rubber tree)
Lineage: Eukaryota; Viridiplantae; Streptophyta; Magnoliopsida; Malpighiales; Euphorbiaceae
Source: RNAcentral